UACGUAGGUGGCAAGCGUUGUCCGGAUUUAUUGGGUUUAAAGGGUGCGUAGGCGGCCUUGUAAGUCAGUGCUGAAAUAUCCCGGCUUAACCGGGAGGGUGGCAUUGAUACUGCGAGGCUUGAGUAAAGUUGAGGUUGGCGGAAUUGACGGUGUAGCGGUGAAAUGCUUAGAUAUCGUCAAGAACACCGAUAGUGAAGACAGCUAACUAAGCUUUAACUGACGCUGAGGCACGAAAGUGUGGGGAUCAAACAGG
Molecule: ribosomal RNA, 253 nt
Filed under: uncultured bacterium
Lineage: Bacteria
Description: partial 16S ribosomal RNA
Rfam family: Bacterial small subunit ribosomal RNA
Source: RNAcentral